AUGGUGAGCACACCAGUGCUGGCGCUUCCGGAUUUCACAUGCCAAUUUGCCAUCGAGACCGACACGUGCGACACAGGCGUGGGUGCGGUGCUCACCCAGGAUGGCCACCUCGUCGCCUACCUCAGCAAGGCCCUGAGGGUGAAGAACCAGAAGUUGUCUACGUACAAGAAGGAAUUCCUAGCCGUCAUGAUGGCCAUCGACAAGUGGAGGCCCUAUCUGCAGCGCGCCCCGUUCGAGAUCGUCACCGACCACAAGAGCCUCUGCACACUCGGUGAUUAGUAGCUAGUGACUGAGCUGCAGCACAAGGCCAUAUCCAAGAUGGUGGGCCUACAAUUCACCUUCCAGUACAAGAAGGGUGUCGACAACGGUGCCGCAGAUGCACUCUCCAGGGUUGGACACCUGCUGGCGCUCGACGCGCUGUUAGUUUGUCAGCCACAAUGGUUGCAAGAGGUCGCCAACUCCUACCACACUGACCCCGACUCGCAAGAACUACUGGCCAAGCUGGCGGUCACCACCUCGGAUGACCAAGGACGCACAUUUCAGAACGGCGUGAUCCGGCAGCGCGGGCGUCUGUGGAUUGGGGUCAAUUAUGCACUGCAGACGAAGCUCAUCGCAGCUCUGCAUCACAGUGCUGUUGGUGGCCACUCGGGCGCAACGGCCACGUAUCAUCGCAUCCGGAAGUUAUUCGCUUGGCCGAGCCUGAAGCGCGCCAUGGAGAAUUUUGUCAAAUAG
Molecule: ribosomal RNA, 732 nt
Filed under: Triticum aestivum (bread wheat)
Lineage: Eukaryota; Viridiplantae; Streptophyta; Magnoliopsida; Poales; Poaceae
Description: partial small subunit ribosomal RNA
Source: RNAcentral